UUAAGCGACUAAGCGUACACGGUGGAUGCCCUGGCAGUCAGAGGCGAUGAAGGACGUGCUAAUCUGCGAUAAGCGCCGGUAAGGUGAUAUGAACCGUUAUAACCGGCGAUUUCCGAAUGGGGAAACCCAGUGUGACUCGUCACACUAUCAUUAACUGAAUCCAUAGGUUAAUGAGGCGAACCGGGGGAACUGAAACAUCUAAGUACCCCGAGGAAAAGAAAUCAACCGAGAUUCCCCCAGUAGCGGCGAGCGAACGGGGAGGAGCCCAGAGCCUGAAUCAGCAUGUGUGUUAGUGGAAGCGUCUGGAAAGGCGCGCGAUACAGGGUGACAGCCCCGUACACAAAAGCGCAUAUGCUGUGAGCUCGAUGAGUAGGGCGGGACACGUGGUAUCCUGUCUGAAUAUGGGGGGACCAUCCUCCAAGGCUAAAUACUCCUGACUGACCGAUAGUGAACCAGUACCGUGAGGGAAAGGCGAAAAGAACCCCGGCGAGGGGAGUGAAAAAGAACCUGAAACCGUGUACGUACAAGCAGUGGGAGCACCCUUUGGGGUGUGACUGCGUACCUUUUGUAUAAUGGGUCAGCGACUUAUAUUCUGUAGCAAGGUUAACCGAAUAGGGGAGCCGGAGGGAAACCGAGUCUUAAUUGGGCGUUAAGUUGCAGGGUAUAGACCCGAAACCCGGUGAUCUAGCCAUGGGCAGGUUGAAGGUUGGGUAACACUAACUGGAGGACCGAACCGACUAAUGUUGAAAAAUUAGCGGAUGACCUGUGGCUGGGGGUGAAAGGCCAAUCAAACCGGGAGAUAGCUGGUUCUCCCCGAAAGCUAUUUAGGUAGCGCCUCGUGAAUUCAUCUCCGGGGGUAGAGCACUGUUUCGGCUAGGGGGCCAUCCCGGCUUACCAACCCGAUGCAAACUGCGAAUACCGGAGAAUGUUAUCACGGGAGACACACGGCGGGUGCUAACGUCCGUCGUGAAGAGGGAAACAACCCAGACCGCCAGCUAAGGUCCCAAAGUCAUGGUUAAGUGGGAAACGAUGUGGGAAGGCCCAGACAGCCAGGAUGUUGGCUUAGAAGCAGCCAUCAUUUAAAGAAAGCGUAAUAGCUCACUGGUCGAGUCGGCCUGCGCGGAAGAUGUAACGGGGCUAAACCAUGCACCGAAGCUGCGGCAGCGACGCUGAUGCGUUGUUGGGUAGGGGAGCGUUCUGUAAGCCUGUGAAGGUGUGUCGUGAGGCAUGCUGGAGGUAUCAGAAGUGCGAAUGCUGACAUAAGUAACGAUAAAGCGGGUGAAAAGCCCGCUCGCCGGAAGACCAAGGGUUCCUGUCCAACGUUAAUCGGGGCAGGGUGAGUCGACCCCUAAGGCGAGGCCGAAAGGCGUAGUCGAUGGGAAACGGGUUAAUAUUCCCGUACUUGGUGUUACUGCGAAGGGGGGACGGAGAAGGCUAUGUUGGCCGGGCGACGGUUGUCCCGGUUUAAGCGUGUAGGUGUGUGUUCCAGGUAAAUCCGGUUCACUUUAACACUGAGGCGUGACGACGAGGCACUACGGUGCUGAAGCAACAAAUGCCCUGCUUCCAGGAAAAGCCUCUAAGCAUCAGGUAACAUCAAAUCGUACCCCAAACCGACACAGGUGGUCAGGUAGAGAAUACCAAGGCGCUUGAGAGAACUCGGGUGAAGGAACUAGGCAAAAUGGUGCCGUAACUUCGGGAGAAGGCACGCUGACACGUAGGUGAAGUGAUUUACUCAUGGAGCUGAAGUCAGUCGAAGAUACCAGCUGGCUGCAACUGUUUAUUAAAAACACAGCACUGUGCAAACACGAAAGUGGACGUAUACGGUGUGACGCCUGCCCGGUGCCGGAAGGUUAAUUGAUGGGGUCAGCGCAAGCGAAGCUCCUGAUCGAAGCCCCGGUAAACGGCGGCCGUAACUAUAACGGUCCUAAGGUAGCGAAAUUCCUUGUCGGGUAAGUUCCGACCUGCACGAAUGGCGUAAUGAUGGCCAGGCUGUCUCCACCCGAGACUCAGUGAAAUUGAACUCGCUGUGAAGAUGCAGUGUACCCGCGGCAAGACGGAAAGACCCCGUGAACCUUUACUAUAGCUUGACACUGAACAUUGAGCCUUGAUGUGUAGGAUAGGUGGGAGGCUUUGAAGUGUGGACGCCAGUCUGCAUGGAGCCGACCUUGAAAUACCACCCUUUAAUGUUUGAUGUUCUAACGUGGACCCGUGAUCCGGGUUGCGGACAGUGUCUGGUGGGUAGUUUGACUGGGGCGGUCUCCUCCUAAAGAGUAACGGAGGAGCACGAAGGUUGGCUAAUCCUGGUCGGACAUCAGGAGGUUAGUGCAAUGGCAUAAGCCAGCUUGACUGCGAGCGUGACGGCGCGAGCAGGUGCGAAAGCAGGUCAUAGUGAUCCGGUGGUUCUGAAUGGAAGGGCCAUCGCUCAACGGAUAAAAGGUACUCCGGGGAUAACAGGCUGAUACCGCCCAAGAGUUCAUAUCGACGGCGGUGUUUGGCACCUCGAUGUCGGCUCAUCACAUCCUGGGGCUGAAGUAGGUCCCAAGGGUAUGGCUGUUCGCCAUUUAAAGUGGUACGCGAGCUGGGUUUAGAACGUCGUGAGACAGUUCGGUCCCUAUCUGCCGUGGGCGCUGGAGAACUGAGGGGGGCUGCUCCUAGUACGAGAGGACCGGAGUGGACGCAUCACUGGUGUUCGGGUUGUCAUGCCAAUGGCACUGCCCGGUAGCUAAAUGCGGAAGAGAUAAGUGCUGAAAGCAUCUAAGCACGAAACUUGCCCCGAGAUGAGUUCUCCCUGAGACUUAAAGUCUCCUGAAGGAACGUUGAAGACGACGACGUUGAUAGGCCGGGUGUGUAAGCGCAGCGAUGCGUUGAGCUAACCGGUACUAAUGAACCGUGAGGCUUAACCUU
This 2904-nucleotide ribosomal RNA is filed under the name Salmonella enterica subsp. enterica. Its description in RNAcentral is "bacterial LSU rRNA". It matches the Rfam family "Bacterial large subunit ribosomal RNA". The record is from RNAcentral. RNAcentral also lists the same sequence under 1 other name. Lineage: Bacteria; Pseudomonadati; Pseudomonadota; Gammaproteobacteria; Enterobacterales; Enterobacteriaceae.